RNAcentral lists this ribosomal RNA (447 nucleotides) under uncultured bacterium. RNAcentral's name for it is "bacterial SSU rRNA". It matches the Rfam family "Bacterial small subunit ribosomal RNA", at positions 331 to 792 of the family's 1533-position model. The record is from RNAcentral.
CCAGACUCCUACGGGAGGCAGCAGUGGGGAAUAUUGGACAAUGGGGGGAACCCUGAUCCAGCGACGCCGCGUGAGUGAAGAAGUAUUUCGGUAUGUAAAGCUCUAUCAGCAGGGAAGAAAGAAAUGACGGUACCUGACUAAGAAGCCCCGGCUAACUACGUGCCAGCAGCCGCGGUAAUACGUAGGGGGCAAGCGUUAUCCGGAUUUACUGGGUGUAAAGGGAGCGUAGACGGCACUGCAAGUCCGGAGUGAAAGCCCAAGGCUUAAUCAUGGGACUGCUCUGGAAACUGUGGAGCUUGAGUGCGGGAGGGGCAGGCGGAAUUCCUGGUGUAGCGGUGAAAUGCGUAGAUAUCAGGAGGAACACCGGCGGCGAAGGCGGCCUGCUGGACCGCGACUGACGUUGAGGCUCGAAAGCGUGGGGAGCGAACAGGAUUAGAUACCCGCGUA